Molecule: transfer RNA, 72 nt
Filed under: Camelus bactrianus (Bactrian camel)
Lineage: Eukaryota; Metazoa; Chordata; Mammalia; Artiodactyla; Camelidae
Also listed under: 3 other names
Rfam family: tRNA
About the family: Transfer RNA (tRNA) molecules are approximately 80 nucleotides in length. Their secondary structure includes four short double-helical elements and three loops (D, anti-codon, and T loops).
Source: Rfam by way of RNAcentral
GUGGGUAUAGCUUAGUGGUAGAGCACAUGUUUAGCAUGCACGAGGUCCUGGGUUCAAUUCCCAGCAACUCCA